This 255-nucleotide ribosomal RNA is filed under the name uncultured bacterium. RNAcentral describes it as "partial 16S ribosomal RNA". It matches the Rfam family "Bacterial small subunit ribosomal RNA", at positions 524 to 776 of the family's 1533-position model. The record is from RNAcentral.
UACGUAGGGUGCAAGCGUUUGUCCGGAAUCAUUGGGCGUAAAGCGCGCGUAGGUGGCUUCGUAAGUCCGUUGUGAAAGUCAAAGGCUCAACCUUUGAAUGCCGAUGGAUACUGCGGAGCUAGAGUACGGAAGAGGCGAGUGGAAUUCCUGGUGUAGCGGUGGAAUGCGCAGAUAUCAGGAGGAACACCAAUAGCGAAGGCAGCUCGCUGGGACGUUUACUGACACUAAGGCGCGAAAGCGUGGGGAGCGAACAGG